GUGCUUGCUCCAGCAGCAUGUGUAGUAAAUUUGGGUCCAUCCCAGAGAUUCACGUGGUCCCUGCACAGUGAUGACUCACAAUAAGUGAAGCAUUGCAUAUUUUU
This 104-nucleotide small nuclear RNA is filed under the name Vicugna pacos (alpaca). The record is from RNAcentral. Lineage: Eukaryota; Metazoa; Chordata; Mammalia; Artiodactyla; Camelidae.